Molecule: ribosomal RNA, 605 nt
Filed under: uncultured bacterium
Lineage: Bacteria
Description: bacterial SSU rRNA
Rfam family: Bacterial small subunit ribosomal RNA
Source: RNAcentral
AAUACAUCGGAACGUGCCCAGUCGUGGGGGAUAACGUAGCGAAAGCUACGCUAUACCGCAUACAAACUGAGGUUGAAAGCGGGGGAUCGCAAGACCUCGCGCGAUUGGAGCGGCCGAUGGCAGAUUAGGUAGUUGGUGGGGUAAAGGCCUACCAAGCCGACGAUCUGUAGCUGGUCUGAGAGGACGACCAGCCACACUGGGACUGAGACACGGCCCAGACUCCUACGGGAGGCAGCAGUGGGGAAUUUUGGACAAUGGGCGCAAGCCUGAUCCAGCCAUUCCGCGUGCAGGGUGAAGGCCCUCGGGUUGUAAACUGCUUUUGUACGGAACGAAAAGGUCCUGGUUAAUACCCGGGGCUGAUGACGGUACCGUAAGAAUAAGCACCGGCUAACUACGUGCCAGCAGCCGCGGUAAUACGUAGGGUGCGAGCGUUAAUCGGAAUUACUGGGCGUAAAGCGUGCGCAGGCGGUGAUGUAAGACAGGUGUGAAAUCCCCGGGCUUAACCUGGGAACUGCAUUUGUGACUGCAUCGCUGGGGUGCGGCAGAGGGGGAUGGAAUUCCGCGUGUAGCAGUGAAAUGCGUAGAUAUGCGGAGGAACACCGAUG